GAACUGGACUGGCUUCUUUCUUUCUCUUUCUCUCCCUCCCUCCCGACUCCCCUCCUUUUCCCUCGCCGCCCCCUCCCCAUGCACGCACAGAGCCCCGUCUCUCGCGCUCGGUCCUGCAGACAGACAGGGAGACAGAAGAUGGCUGACUCGCCAGGGCAACCCACGGUCCGGCCCGCCCGCAUCCCCAACCCUCCCAGAGCCGCUUUCUCCUUUGACACCCGUUGACGCUUUCGCCCAGCGCUAAAAGCCGCCCCCGUCCUCCCUCCCUUCCUCUCCACAACCUUCCCCCCCCGAAAGCUUUUCCCAAAUAAUACCAGCAGCCAUUUCAUCUCCACCAAAGUAGAUACACGCACACAUUACACGCGCGCGGGCGCGCGCCCACACACACACACACACACACAUACACGCACGCACACCAAACAAAAAAAUAAAAUAAAAAAUAAAAUAAAAAAUGGCAGAAAUGGAGAAAGAAGGGAGACCUCCAGAAAAUAAAAGAAGCAGGAAGCCGGCUCAUCCCGUGAAAAGGGAAAUCAAUGAAGAGAUGAAGAAUUUUGCAGAAAACACUAUGAAUGAGCUCCUUGGCUGGUAUGGUUAUGAUAAGGUUGAAUUAAAAGAUGGAGAAGAUAUUGAAUUCAGGAAUUACUCUGCAGAUGGGGAGAGCCGACAGCACAUUUCUGUUCUGAAAGAAAAUUCUUUGCCAAAAACAAAAUUACCUGAAGACAGUGUUAUGUCACCAUACAAUAUAAACACAAACUAUCCAGGGCUUACCACAGGAAAUGGAAUCUCAGACUCACCAGCAGGAUCAAAGGAACAUGGCAAUGUACCCAUUAUUGUACCAUUAAUUCCACCACCUUUUAUAAAGCCACCAGCAGAAUACAGAAUAAUAGAGUUGGAAGAGACCUUGGACUGGAGGUCUUUUAGUUCAACCCCCUGCUCAAGCUAUACCAAUUCAGACAAGUGGCUGUCCAGUCUCUUCUUAAAAGCGUCCAGUGAUGAAGCACUCACAACUUCUGAAGAAGAUGAUAUAUCAAAUGUACAAAUCAUGUGUGCCUGGUGCCAGAAAGUGGGAAUCAAACGCUAUUCUCUGAGUAUGGGGAGUGAAGUGAAAUGCUUCUGCAGUGAAAAAUGCUUUGCAGCUUGCCGGAGAGCAUACUUCAAAAGAAACAAGGCUAGAGAUGAAGAUGGACAUGCUGAAAAUUUUCCCCAGCAGCACUAUGCUAAGGAAACUCCAAGACUUGCCUUCAAGAAUAACUGCGAACUACUUGUGUGUGACUGGUGUAAGCACAUAAGACACACAAAAGAGUAUCUGGAUUUUGGGGACGGGGAAAGAAGGCUUCAGUUCUGCAGUGCAAAAUGUCUCAAUCAGUACAAAAUGGACAUUUUCUACAAAGAGACACAGGCCAAUCUUCCAGCUGGACUCUGCAGCACAUUACAUCCUCCAGUAGAAAAUAAAGCAGAAGGCACUGGGGUGCAGCUGCUGACUCCAGAUUCUUGGAAUAUAUCGCUAGCAGAUGCUCGGAGAAAGGCCCCAUCCCCAGUGUCUGCAGCUGGCCAAAUUCAAGGUCCUGGAUCAUCCACGUCUACCACUGCCUCUCCGUCUGAUACUGCCAACUGCUCUGUCACUAAAAUCCCAACACCGGUUCCCAAACCUAUUCCCAUCAAUGAGAAUCCAAAUAUUCCACCAGUUUCUGUUCAGCCACCUGCUAGUAUUGUGCCUCCAAUCGGUGUCCCACCUCGAAGUCCGCCCAUGGUGAUGACAAACCGUGGACCAGUUCCCUUGCCCAUAUUCAUGGAGCAGCAAAUUCUGCAGCAGAUUCGUCCACCGUUUAUUCGAGGGCCACCUCAUCAUGCCUCAAAUCCAAAUAGCCCUCUGUCCAAUCCAAUGAUUCCUGGAAUUGGCCCACCACCGGGUGGUCCUAGAAAUAUGGGACCCACUUCCAGCCCAAUGCAUAGGCCAAUGCUGUCCCCUCAUAUCCAUCCUCCAACAACUCCAACGAUGCCUGGAAAUCCUCCAGGCUUACUACCCCCUCCACCGCCAGGAGUUCCUUUGCCCAGCCUGCCUUUCCCUCCUGUAAGCAUGAUGCCAAAUGGUCCUAUGCCCAUGCCACAGAUGAUGAACUUUGGUUUGCCAUCUCUUGCCCCAUUAGUGCCACCACCAACCCUCUUAGUGCCAUAUCCUGUUAUCGUUCCACUUCCUGUCCCAAUCCCAAUUCCAAUCCCCAUUCCUCACAUCAAUGAUUCCAAGCCCCCAAAUGGCUUCUCGAGCAAUGGGGAAAGCUUCAUUCCAAAUACACCCAACGACACAACAGGGGCUAAGCCAACAAGUAACUCUGUGUCCCCCAGGAAUUCUAAACAAGGCCCUUCCAAGCCUUCUGAUUCAUCACCAAGCUGCUCAGGCCAGUCCUUAAAUCAAACCCAAGUGCAUCAGCAGCACAGUAAAAAUGAAGUUGUUGACUUGACUGUGAGAUCGAGUAGUCCUGUGAACAACAAGUUUGGUUUUCCUACAGUACUACAGGGACCACAGGAUGGUGUGAUAGACUUAACUGUAGGUCACAGGUCUAGACUACACAAUGUUAUCCACAGGGCUUUGUAUGCUGAAGUCAAAGUUGAACAUGAAGCUAGCAGCGUUGUGAAUCUGACUUCGGGUAGCUCAGAUAAAAGGAACUGCAGUGACUGCAGGAAAAAUUGCAGCCCCACCGAAACAAAGACAUUAUCGGGUGGUGAUCCAUCUCACUGUGGCUCCCUCCCAGUUGCCUCUGGCACUCCAGAAAAUGCUGCAGCUGCAGCCUGCAAUGUCAUUGUGAAUGGCACAAAAGGCCCCGAGGUUUCUAAGAACUCAGAAACACCCCAAGAGCAGAAAAAGACUCAGCUUCAACCCUGUUUGCUGGAGGACCUGCCAGUGAGUGAGCUGGAAUCCGUUAAGGAGAAUAACUGUACAUCAAACUGUCGCCGAGAAGGAGAGUCUGGUAAGAAGACGGGGGAAGAGUCUCUCUUUGGGGGAGACAAACAAGAUCCCAACCUUAACAAUCCGGCCGAUGAGGAUCAUGCAUAUGCUUUGCGGAUGCUACCCAAAGCAGGCUGCGUCAUCCAGCCUGUACCCAGACCAGCGGACAAGACUGCUAUUGGACCCUGCAUUAUUUCAACGCCAAUUCUCAGCACAGGGCCAGAAGAUCUAGAGCCACCACUGAAAAGGAGGUGUCUCCGAAUUCGAAAUCAGAAUAAGUAAAGGUACCAUGUGGGAACUGUUGUACCCCUUGUGAAAGGUGUUUGUGGCUGGAAAUAUAUUUGUGCACCAGAAAAGGAAUGAAAAAGGAAUGCUGAUAUUGACAGGGUACCUUGCAUGGAGAAAGGGAGCCGAGCAAUCAGUGCUACUUUACCAGACAACAGCUGGUCCACUCACCACCAUAUCUGGUCAGAAAUCAAGAAAACAAAGCCAUUUCCCAUCAUUAUUUCUCUCAGAGGGAAGGCUAAAACCCUAGGGUGCCUUUGGGUCAGAAGACUGUAAGCACAUCAUGGACCCCUCAAAAGUACUCUCAGCAUUCCGAUGACCACGCCCCCUUCUCCCUAAACCUUUGUUUUUUUGCCGAUGGAGGAUUUUCCUCUGAUUCUAAAGCCACAUGGACCAAUGUAUGUACUUUUUUUUUUCCUCAUAGACUUCAAGGUUCAAAUAUUUGAAGUUGGACGAUGAAAUGGAUCCCCCCCCCAAAAAAAACCUGCUGUGGUUUUGCUGCUACAUGAAGAAUUGUGAUUUGCAUUGUAUGGUUUUGGACCUAUUCGCGUUGUAAUGGGAGGCGGUUGAAGGGGCUAUACUGGAGUAUUGACACUUCAGAGUCAUCUCUAUCUCCUACCCAUGAUGCACUUUUAAAUGAAGAGUUAUUAGAAUAUUUUAUUGGCUAAUAUACUUUUUCUGUGUUAUUUUUACAAAGGCCACCUUUAUCCUUUUUAAUGCCAUAUUUUCAGUGUUACACUUUUUCUGGCUUUUAAUUUUAAUUUUAAUUUUUUAAAUUUUGAUUUGACAGAUGUAAGAAGCAGCAUGAAUAGUUUAUACUGUGGUUUUUCAAGAGACUGAAUGCCAAGAGAACUCAGUAAAUGUUUAUUCCUCUCGGUUUUCUCUUUCAAUUCCCCUAAAAUAGCACCCCUUUUGGGAACAGAGCAAGAGUGUUGAACUAAAGACCAAAAAAAAAAAAAAGGAUCCCCUCAAGGUGUAAAACUAUCCAGGGGAAAUAUUUGCUGGGUGUUAUGAAAGACUUGGAUGAAAUUUCAACCCUGAUGGUUUUGCAGUGAUCCAGGAAGCCAGUGAGACAAUCUCUCCAGAUGUAAAGCUCUUUCAUGAUAAUUAGAAAGGUAUGGCCAAGCCAAUGAAAACACGGGGGUAAAGUGAGAAGCAAGUCCCCAUGAUUUUGUUUCACUAUUUGCUUUCUCCUGUCAUGGUUAAAAGAAAUGUGCAAUCUGAUUCUCAGUUGGUGGGUGGAGGAUAACAGGGUAGGAUUUACUUGUGUGCACUUGUAUAGUUGUAGCCAAGAAUCCAAAAGUACACUAGAGCACUGAUUUGGUAAAACAAUUGGGAAGUAUCCCAGUUUGGACAAAAUACUAAGGGGGGAAAAUUGAGGGGGGAAAAAUACGUUCAAAUCACCUUGUGAUCCAGUGUAACUGUUUACUAACUUGAAUAAAGCAAUUGUUCACACAAUAGUGAUCAGAGUGCACCUUCACUAUAAGGCUAUUGUGUUUAGCAAAAGGGAAAACAUUUGGGAAGAUUGUGAUUCAAAGAGCUUGGGAGCAGGGUCUUAAAUUAAAGCCAAUUAAAUCAGAACUUUGUAGCGAUGGUGCACUGACGGUACUUUGUACAUACUGUAUUUCUAUAUUUUUCCUUUGUACAGAUUCACUUAAGUCAAGCUACUGUUUUACAGGGGCUCCUUAUUUAUUAGGUCUGUGAAGGCUUGGAAAAUUACACCCAACAAGCAAAUUCACUUUGAUUAAAAAAAAAAACAAAUACGAGAAAAAAAAAUAGAUGUGUGGGAGGGAGGGCAGAGGGUCAGUGGAUGAGCUCAUGAACCCAUGGAUUCUCAAAACCUAACGAAGGCAAAUUUCUAUGGAAAAUAUGAAGCAUUUUUAAGAUGCUUCUUGUUGUUCUUUUUUCUUCUCCCUGACUGGUGUCAGAUUUAAUAAAACAAAAUAAAUCUCCAAGUAAAAAUGUA
Pantherophis guttatus is the source of this 5195-nucleotide RNA transcript. It is a transcript of the gene named sine oculis binding protein homolog, with no coding region annotated. NCBI's taxonomy places the organism in Eukaryota, Metazoa, Chordata, Lepidosauria, Squamata, Colubridae. The record is from RefSeq and is a predicted model, not a curated record.